AUGUUAUGAUUUGGGCACCUAUGUAAUAAAAGUUUAAACCUUUCUCAUGCUUCAUACACUCAUUCAGUUUCCUGUUGCUCAAAGUGUGUGAUUUCAACUCUCUGUUC
Lathyrus oleraceus (garden pea) is the source of this 107-nucleotide small nucleolar RNA. Lineage: Eukaryota; Viridiplantae; Streptophyta; Magnoliopsida; Fabales; Fabaceae. The record is from RefSeq and is a predicted model, not a curated record.